CUUUUAGGAAAACGUCUAACCGGCUGAUAAACACCUUCUUGCUGCCAUUGGUCCAUGUCAUCGGUAGGUGUGACGUGAGGCUCCACCUACUACUUUGUUUACGUUUUUCAGUCAGUAUUCAACGUGAACACCUGCGUGCAAGACCAUGCCAUGAGCCUCAAGGAACCGGGUCAAAGUUAAAGGACGGAGGAAAACACAUUCUACCUGUGUCCUCAUGCGAUUCAAGUGCCGCUGGCUCGCGGAAUCAGCAUUUCCAUGGGAAACCUGAUUGUUUCCAUGGGACCGCUGAUCAUGCCAACUUUCAGCUGAUGAGCGGCACCUGACUGUGUCGGUCCUGUUACCUGUUUUCUGUGUUGGUUGCCAGGCUUCGCUGUAGCGCCCGGAUUGUGGUUACCUUCCUGUUGGUUGCAUUGCUUGCCUUGACGCUUCACCUGAGUAUUCCUCAUCGGUUACCCCUCUACACUGGAUCUGCUCGUCACACUACUGUGACGCACACAAACCUACGAGCACCCUAUCCUCCAGAGGAUUCCUCGUGGAUCUGUGCUCCACACUACCUCAAUGCACACAAACCUACGAACACACUCUAUCUCCAUGCUGCAGUCGAUGCCAGGGCUCCAUCACACUUCACCAGCUCUGCUGUGUUUAAAACAUAAUAAAGUAUUUUACUUUGC
Molecule: long non-coding RNA, 671 nt
Organism: Myxocyprinus asiaticus (Chinese sucker)
Lineage: Eukaryota; Metazoa; Chordata; Actinopteri; Cypriniformes; Catostomidae
Exons: 3
Source: RefSeq, a predicted model, not a curated record